GCAACUGGUCUGUUCAAGCUCAUUGAGAACUACCUUGUGGCCAACCCAGAUGCCUACAACUAAAACCUUAAAUGAAAAUAUACUGCAUGUGCUUUCUCUGUCAUUAUAUUGGUGUGGCUUUCAUUUUUCCUUUUCUUUUUCUUGUCUAUCAAGCCAGAGCUGCUUUGGCUUGCACCUAAGGCUAUGAUAAAUUGUAAUUUUUCUAUUUGAUUUGAUUCUAAAUAAAUAAAGCAAAAAUCAGUUGCUGGUCUUUAC
This 255-nucleotide long non-coding RNA is filed under the name Prunus dulcis (almond). RNAcentral describes it as "sRNA ncRNA". The record is from RNAcentral. Lineage: Eukaryota; Viridiplantae; Streptophyta; Magnoliopsida; Rosales; Rosaceae.